GUCCACGCAGUAAACGAUGCCGACUAGGCGUGGGUGGACUUGACCCCAUCCGUGCCGGAGCUAACGCGGGAAGUCGGCCGCCUGGGGAGUACGGCCGCAAGGCUAAAACUCAAAGGAAUUGACGGGGCCCGGCACAAGCGGCGGAGCGUGCGGUUUAAUUCGACGCAACGCGCAAAACCUUACCAGGGCUUGACAUGCCCCUCGCACACCCCGGAAACCGGGGGAGGCCUUCGAGGGUGGGGCGACAGGUGCUGCAUGGCUGUCGU
This 266-nucleotide ribosomal RNA is filed under the name uncultured bacterium. RNAcentral describes it as "partial 16S ribosomal RNA". It matches the Rfam family "Bacterial small subunit ribosomal RNA", at positions 793 to 1055 of the family's 1533-position model. The record is from RNAcentral.